GUAUGAUACCCCCACUAUGAGUGUAUUAACUUUGCUCCUUUCACCAUAAAGUUCUUAUAGGUCUCACCCCCUGGAGAGCCACCAGCAUUGAAAUGCUGGAGACCUCUCACAGGUGCAACCCAAUUGCCUCUGGUUUGAUGGAGGGACCCAACCACCCAACAAUGGAAGGGGCCUGAUCCCCUCAUAAUGAUGGGCAAAGGUUUUGCUUGUGUUUUCCAGAGAUCACUCUGCAGCCUGUGUGGAUAGCAGCCUGAAAUGCCAAACCCUGGACCCAGUCUCUGAAAGCUCACCCUCUGACAAGCCAACUUCAGCGCCUUUCCCUGAACAAGCCAUUCACAGAAAGAUCCUCUUCAGAUCAGCUACAGCUUAAAUGAAAGGGACCUUACCAGGAAACUGGGUUGCCAGCGUCACUGCAGAGAACAAGAACAGUCCCACAGUGACAGAGGUGGAGCCUGGAGCUGGAGUCUCUACAAGCGGCAAGGACCCAUGGCAGUGUGGCCAGGAGUUCCCCAGGUCUCACAGAGGACAGAUGAAGAAGUCAAUAAAACUGGAGAAAAAGAUUCUACACACUUUUCAAAAGAUAAAGAGGAAGAAUACAUCUGGACUAAUCCAUAAUGCAAACAUUAUACAACUGCAAUGAUUGAAGAAAUCAAAUUUCCACAUGAGCAAUAAUAUAAAAAAUCAAACUAAAUUUUGAAACAGGAUAUUCUUCAAUAGGUGAAUGUAUGAGUAAACUGUGUUGUGUCUGAGAGACCUCAGCCUGGAUGAAUGCGCAGCUAUUUUAGAAUAGGCCUCCAUCUUGUAAUUCAGGCCUGACCGAGCCCUGAACCCUGAAGCUCAUGAAAGAAAAAAUAAAUAAAUGAACUCCCCUUGCAAUAAACCCCACCUAGCAACAGCCAAUCAGCAGCUAGCAGGGAGAUACCUAAAGUUUCAGGUGUCUUUUCAGGCACUUAAGGUAAUUGAUAAUAUCCUGAGACCCUGCAGUUUGGCAAGUACACCAUAGUGGCUCUGACCCUAUACUUUAGCCAAUCAUUUUUUUUUUACUUUUU
Lepus europaeus (European hare) is the source of this 1049-nucleotide long non-coding RNA. RefSeq lists it as uncharacterized. NCBI's taxonomy places the organism in Eukaryota, Metazoa, Chordata, Mammalia, Lagomorpha, Leporidae. The transcript is spliced from 3 exons. The record is from RefSeq and is a predicted model, not a curated record.